UACGUAGGGUGCGAGCGUUAAUCGGAAUUACUGGGCGUAAAGCGUGCGUAGACGGUCAUGUAAGUCGGGUGUGAAAGCCCCGGGCUCAACCUGGGAAUUGCAUUCGAGACUGCAUGGCUAGGGUGCGGAAGAGGGAAGCGGAAUUUCCGGUGUAGCGGUGAAAUGCGUAGAUAUCGGAAGGAACACCAGUGGCGAAAGCGGCUUCCUGGUCCAGCACCGACGUUCAGGCACGAAAGCGUGGGGAGCAAACAGG
Molecule: ribosomal RNA, 253 nt
Filed under: uncultured bacterium
Lineage: Bacteria
Description: partial 16S ribosomal RNA
Rfam family: Bacterial small subunit ribosomal RNA
Source: RNAcentral